UGGGGAAUAUUGGACAAUGGGACCCAAAAGUCUGAUCCAGCAAUUCUGUGUGCACGAUGAAGUUUUUCGGAAUGUAAAGUGCUUUCAGUUGGGACGAAGUAAGUGACGGUACCAACAGAAGAAGCGACGGCUAAAUACGUGCCAGCAGCCGCGGUAAUACGUAUGUCGCAAGCGUUAUCCGGAUUUAUUGGGCGUAAAGCGCGUCUAGGCGGUUUGGUAAGUCUGAUGUGAAAAUGCGGGGCUCAACUCCGUAUUGCGUUGGAAACUGCCAAACUAGAGUACUGGAGAGGUGGGCGGAACUACAAGUGUAGAGGUGAAAUUCGUAGAUAUUUGUAGGAAUGCCGAUGGGGAAGCCAGCCCACUGGACAGAUACUGACGCUAAAGCGCGAAAGCGUGGGUAGCAAACAGGAUUAGAUACCCUGGUAGU
Molecule: ribosomal RNA, 427 nt
Filed under: uncultured Fusobacteriaceae bacterium
Lineage: Bacteria; Fusobacteriati; Fusobacteriota; Fusobacteriia; Fusobacteriales; Fusobacteriaceae
Description: bacterial SSU rRNA
Rfam family: Bacterial small subunit ribosomal RNA
Source: RNAcentral